RNAcentral lists this ribosomal RNA (425 nucleotides) under uncultured bacterium. RNAcentral describes it as "bacterial SSU rRNA". It matches the Rfam family "Bacterial small subunit ribosomal RNA", at positions 354 to 796 of the family's 1533-position model. The record is from RNAcentral.
GUUAGGAAUAUUGGACAAUGGACGCAAGUCUGAUCCAGCCAUGCCGCGUGAGUGAUGAAGGCCUUCGGGUUGUAAAGCUCUUUAGCCGAUGAUUAUAAUGACUGUAGUCGGAAAAUAAGCCCCGGCUAACUUCGUGCCAGCAGCCGCGGUAAUACGAAGGGGGCGAGCGUUAUUCGGAAUCACUGGGCGUAAAGCGUGCGUAGGCGGUUUUGUAAGUUGGGAGUGAAAGCCCAGGGCUCAACCCUGGAAUUGCUCUCAAAACUACAAGACUUGAAUUCGGGAGAGGAUAGCGGAAUUGUCAGUGUAGCAGUGAAAUGCGUAGAUAUUGACAGGAACACCAGUGGCGUAAGCGGCUAUCUGGACCGACAUUGACGCUGAGGCACGAAAGCGUGGGGAUCAAACAGGAUUAGAUACCCUAGUAGUCC